AUUGAACGCUGGCGGCGUGCUUAACACAUGCAAGUCGAGCGGUAACGCGGGGGCAACCCUGGCGACGAGCGGCGAACGGGUGCGUAAUACAUGGGAAUCUGCCCUGUAGUGGGGAAUAACCCGGCGAAAGCCGGGCUAAUGCCGCAUACGAUCUACGGAUGAAAGCGGGGGACCUUCGGGCCUCGCGCUAUUGGAUGAGCCCAUGUCGGAUUAGCUAGUUGGUGAGGUAACGGCUCACCAAGGCGACGAUCCGUAGCUGGUCUGAGAGGACGGCCAGCCACACUGGGACUGAGACACGGCCCAGACUCCUACGGGAGCAGCAGUGGGGAAUAUUGGACAAUGGGGGAAACCCUGAUCCAGCGACGCCGCGUGUGUGAAGAAGGCC
Molecule: ribosomal RNA, 385 nt
Filed under: uncultured bacterium
Lineage: Bacteria
Description: bacterial SSU rRNA
Rfam family: Bacterial small subunit ribosomal RNA
Source: RNAcentral